AUUCCAGCUCCAAUAGCGUAUAUUUAAGUUGCUGCAGUUAAAAAGCUCGUAGUUGGAUUUCGGAUGGGAUUUGCCGGUCCGCCGUUCCGGUGUGCACUGGCCAGUCUCAUCUUGUUGUUGGGGACUAGCUCCUGGGCUUCACUGUCCGGGACUAGGAGCUGACGAGGUUACUUUGAGUAAAUUAGAGUGUUCAAAGCAGGCCUACGCUCUGAAUACAUUAGCAUGGAAUAACAUGAUAGGACUCUGGCUUAUCUUGUUGGUCUGUGAGACCAGAGUAAUGAUUAAGAGGGACAGUCGGGGACAUUCGUAUUUCAUUGUCAGAGGUGAAAUUCUUGGAUUUUGGAAAGAUGAACUACUGCGAAGGCACUUACCAAGGAUGUUUUCAUCA
RNAcentral lists this ribosomal RNA (388 nucleotides) under Tetraselmis sp. RNAcentral's name for it is "partial small subunit ribosomal RNA". It matches the Rfam family "Eukaryotic small subunit ribosomal RNA", at positions 582 to 975 of the family's 1831-position model. Lineage: Eukaryota; Viridiplantae; Chlorophyta; Chlorodendrophyceae; Chlorodendrales; Chlorodendraceae. The record is from RNAcentral.